Long non-coding RNA from Sarcophilus harrisii (Tasmanian devil), 230 nucleotides. RefSeq lists it as uncharacterized. NCBI's taxonomy places the organism in Eukaryota, Metazoa, Chordata, Mammalia, Dasyuromorphia, Dasyuridae. The record is from RefSeq and is a predicted model, not a curated record. The transcript is spliced from 2 exons.
UCCAUUUUACCCAGGGCCAAGUGUAGCCAGCUUGAUCUAUAUCCUGCCACUGGACUUAGAUGGCUCUGGAAAAUAAGGAACUUGCUUUCUAGUUGGAGAGGUAAGGGAAUUGCUCAUGAUGUCAUCAUGAUAAAAAUUAGAACACAAAUUUUGAGCAUUGGAAGAACAGAGGAAUCAAUGCACCAAGGUGACUUCUUUGAAGAUUAAAAAAAAAAAACCUAUUCCAAUAC